This is a non-coding RNA of Flavobacterium sp. ov086, 71 nucleotides long. NCBI's taxonomy places the organism in Bacteria, Pseudomonadati, Bacteroidota, Flavobacteriia, Flavobacteriales, Flavobacteriaceae. The record is from Rfam.
GAUUCUGUAUUUCAAUUGGUAGAAGGGAGGUUAAUUUACCUGGAAUGAAGGUUCGAGUCCUUCCGGAAUCA